GACGAACGCUGGCGGCGUGCUUAACACAUGCCAGUCGAACGGUGAAGCGAGUGCUUGCACUCGUGGAUCAGUGGCGAACGGGUGAGUAACACGUGAGUAACCUGCCCAUCACUCUGGGAUAAGCACUGGAAACGGUGUCUAAUACUGGAUACGACCAACCCUUGCAUGGGGUGUUGGUGGAAAGAUUUAUCGGUGAUGGAUGGACUCGCGGCCUAUCAGCUUGUUGGCGGGGUAAUGGCCCACCAAGGCGACGACGGGUAGCCGGCCUGAGAGGGUGACCGGCCACACUGGGACUGAGACACGGCCCAGACUCCUACGGGAGGCAGCAGUGGGGAAUAUUGCACAAUGGGCGAAAGCCUGAUGCGGCGACGCCGCGUGAGGGAUGACGGCCUUCGGGUUGUAAACCUCUUUCAGCAGGGAAGAAGCGAAAGUGACGGUACCUGCAGAAGAAGCACCGGCUAACUACGUG
RNAcentral lists this ribosomal RNA (469 nucleotides) under uncultured bacterium. RNAcentral's name for it is "partial 16S ribosomal RNA". It matches the Rfam family "Bacterial small subunit ribosomal RNA", at positions 28 to 507 of the family's 1533-position model. The record is from RNAcentral.